UUGGCGGACGGGUGAGUAACGCGUGGGUAACCUGCCUUGCACUGGGGGAUAACACUUAGAAAUAGGUGCUAAUACCGCAUAAGCGCACGGUCCUGCAUGGGAUAGUGUGAAAAACUCCGGUGGUGCAAGAUGGACCCGCGUCUGAUUAGCUGGUUGGCGGGGUAAAGGCCCACCAAGGCGACGAUCAGUAGCCGGCCUGAGAGGGUGGACGGCCACAUUGGGACUGAGACACGGCCCAAACUCCUACGGAAGGCAGCAG
Molecule: ribosomal RNA, 259 nt
Filed under: uncultured bacterium
Lineage: Bacteria
Description: partial 16S ribosomal RNA
Rfam family: Bacterial small subunit ribosomal RNA
Source: RNAcentral